This is a long non-coding RNA of Gasterosteus aculeatus aculeatus (three-spined stickleback), 2204 nucleotides long. The record is from Ensembl. Lineage: Eukaryota; Metazoa; Chordata; Actinopteri; Perciformes; Gasterosteidae.
GGUAAUCCGUGCGCCUUCAGGUACCACUCGUGUCCUGGUUCAAAACCCUGACCUGAAGAAGGUCACAAUAAUAAUUACCCUCCAAGACACUCACUCGUAUUCACAAUGCUCACAUGGCUAUCACAAACAAACAAUCUCAAUGCAAAAACAUACCAUCUAUAGUUGCCCACAAACAUGCUAAUCGCUAAGCUAGCGAAUGCUAGCCAAGAAGCGCUCGAUCUGCUGACAAAGUGCUAAAACCACGCUAACCGCCAAGCUAGCAGGACAUCAACAACCGCGCCAGCCGCUUCGUAACUGACACAUACACGUACACACAGACUGACCGCUGAACGAGGAGUCCUGCGUGUUGCCCCAGCUGUCACUAGUGUCGUUACCUCCGACCCUCCUGCUGCGAAGCUAGUGUCGAAACAUGAACCAGACAGUGCACGGCGAAGCAAACGUAAAGAUGCUCGGCUCGUUCGCUGCUGAUCACGUGAUCAGUGACGUCCGAAGCUUCGGUCCGGCUCAGUGACGCAAUCAGUGACGUCCGAAGCUUCGUUCCUGCGCACAGUCACGUGACCGCUUCGAUUUGAUUCAAAUGGGCUGGAAACAGGGUUCGGGCUUGUUGGUUUGAUACAGUCAAAGUCAGUGUUGUUGUUGUUGUUGUUGUUGUAGCAAAGAGCACAUUUACAAUGGAACCUGUGGCAAAGAGAGGUCGCUCCGAGAUGUGGGAGCACUUCAAUUUGAUUUCCUCUAACAAGGUUGGCAAUAGGCAGGCAACGUCUGUCAUUUGUAUUGUGUAAUUAUGGAUGUUUAUUUUUAUUGUGGAGACCACCAGAUAUUUGGCUGAAUCAAACAUUCCACGGAGUGAAGAGCCGCUAAAAUAUUGGGUCCAACACAAACAUGUGUACCCACAUCUGUUUGUAUUAGCACAUAAUCUUAUGAGCAUUCCUGCCUGAUCGUGCCGCAUGAGCGCCUUUUUUCUAAAGCUGGGGAAACAGUAUCUAAGAAACCGACUCAACCCCAAUUCUGUGGAGAAAAUUGUGUUUCUCAAUAAAAAUCAAUAAUAAUUUCAUGCCCCAUCCCAUGUGUCCACAAGCACCUCAAUAUCCUGUCAUAAGAAACCUGUCAGCACAAUCACUGCCCCACUGACCUUUCCUCUGUCAAUCACUCCACAUUCAAACAAUUCACAUAAAUCCCUAUGACUGCAUGAACUGCACAUGCAGUAGGAAGCACUUUAUAUAUAUAUAUAAUCUCUUCUAUUAAUUAUUCUGCUAGUAUGAUCACAAACAUACAUGCACAAAGGUGCAGAAAGAUAUAGAUAAGUGUUUGUUAAACUUCUUUCCAAUGUACAGAGAAUUGAAAUACACAAACAAGGACACAAUUCAAACCUGAAAAACAAUAGUUUUAUUCAUAUAGGAAUCCGUGUAUUUAUUAGAUGAUUUAUUGGUUCAACUUUUCAUAAUCAGAGAUUGGGCCAAAAUAUACUGGUGGGCUAUUCGAACCAUUUGCACUACACGUUUUCAACAGCAGAGGUCAUCGUAGAGUUUGCGAUGCAUUGAAUGAAUGAACCUUUUUCCCAUACAAUUGGCUGGAAAGCUUCACUUUGCCAUCACUACUGUCACCGCCGAGUCGGAUUGUAAAUCAUAACAGGAAGUGACCGACCCGGAUAUUUAUGGUGUGACAGCUAGCGACCGAUUGGCAGUACAUUUCACAUUUUAUUAAUUACCAGUUGAACAAAACAAGUGUAAACAAUAAUAAAGAGCUACCAGGGUUUCGCCGUGUGACACACGCUUUUGCAUGUUUUCACACGCACUCACGCCACACAACCAGUUCCUCACGGCAAAAAAUGAAUUCUGAUUUUGGGCCGAAGCGCGUUUGUUCCUUUUCAAACUUCCCGACGAUAGGUGGCGCUAAGGAGCGCAUCUGUAACCCUAUUCGCUGCAUAGACAUGCUGUUGACCCCAAAGAGUCCCCAAGUUAUCAACAGAAGGAGAUUUUCAAACAGACACAACCACGGGAGAAACUCAGGAGGAGCAAAGACUAAGCUACGUUAAUGACGUGCGCUUCAAUGAAGCCAAAGAAAAAGACCCCUUUCCAAACAGCACUUUGAACCGUUCUUUAAGGGAGCAACGAUGUCUCGUAAAAGACCUUUGCCAGGCCCAGGACAAAAGGGAAGUCUGUUAUAUUAUUUAAAGAACAGACAGAGGAGCUACACACAGGACA